This is a non-coding RNA of Phrynosoma platyrhinos (Desert horned lizard), 72 nucleotides long. NCBI's taxonomy places the organism in Eukaryota, Metazoa, Chordata, Lepidosauria, Squamata, Phrynosomatidae. The record is from the annotation of a GenBank genome assembly.
GUCAGCGUGGUGUAGUGGUUUGAGCAUUAGACUAGGACACCGGAGAUCAGGGUUCAAUUCCUGGCUCUGCCA